This 816-nucleotide ribosomal RNA is filed under the name Klebsiella pneumoniae. Its description in RNAcentral is "partial 23S ribosomal RNA". It matches the Rfam family "Bacterial large subunit ribosomal RNA", at positions 419 to 1238 of the family's 2925-position model. The record is from RNAcentral. Lineage: Bacteria; Pseudomonadati; Pseudomonadota; Gammaproteobacteria; Enterobacterales; Enterobacteriaceae. RNAcentral also lists the same sequence under 2 other names.
GGGACACGUGGUAUCCUGUCUGAAUAUGGGGGGACCAUCCUCCAAGGCUAAAUACUCCUGACUGACCGAUAGUGAACCAGUACCGUGAGGGAAAGGCGAAAAGAACCCCGGCGAGGGGAGUGAAAAAGAACCUGAAACCGUGUACGUACAAGCAGUGGGAGCACCUUCGGGUGUGACUGCGUACCUUUUGUAUAAUGGGUCAGCGACUUAUAUUCUGUAGCAAGGUUAACCGUAUAGGGGAGCCGCAGGGAAACCGAGUCUUAACUGGGCGUUAAGUUGCAGGGUAUAGACCCGAAACCCGGUGAUCUAGCCAUGGGCAGGUUGAAGGUUGGGUAACACUAACUGGAGGACCGAACCGACUAAUGUUGAAAAAUUAGCGGAUGACUUGUGGCUGGGGGUGAAAGGCCAAUCAAACCGGGAGAUAGCUGGUUCUCCCCGAAAGCUAUUUAGGUAGCGCCUCGUGAAUUCAUCUUCGGGGGUAGAGCACUGUUUCGGCUAGGGGGUCAUCCCGACUUACCAACCCGAUGCAAACUACGAAUACCGAAGAAUGUUAUCACGGGAGACACACGGCGGGUGCUAACGUCCGUCGUGAAGAGGGAAACAACCCAGACCGCCAGCUAAGGUCCCAAAGUCAUGGUUAAGUGGGAAACGAUGUGGGAAGGCACAGACAGCCAGGAUGUUGGCUUAGAAGCAGCCAUCAUUUAAAGAAAGCGUAAUAGCUCACUGGUCGAGUCGGCCUGCGCGGAAGAUGUAACGGGGCUAAACCAUGCACCGAAGCUGCGGCAGCGACACUAUGUGUUGUUGGGUAGGGGAGCG